Molecule: ribosomal RNA, 458 nt
Filed under: uncultured bacterium
Lineage: Bacteria
Description: partial 16S ribosomal RNA
Rfam family: Bacterial small subunit ribosomal RNA
Source: RNAcentral
CCUACGGGGGGCAGCAGUGGGGAAUAUUGCACAAUGGGGGAAACCCUGAUGCAGCGACGCCGCGUGAGUGAAGAAGUAUUUCGGUAUGUAAAGCUCUAUCAGCAGGGAAGAAAUAGCGACCUUUGGGUCGCCAGACGGUACCUGACUAAGACGCCCCGGCUAACUACGUGCCAGCAGCCGCGGCAAUACGUAGGGGGCAAGCGUUGGCCGGAUUUACUGGGUGAAAAGGGCGUGCAGCCGGGAAGACAAGUCAGAUGUGAAAACCCGCGGCUCAACCGCGGGACUGCAUUUGAAACUGUUUUUCUUGAGUACCGGAGAGGUCAUCGGAAUUCCUUGUGUAGCGGUGAAAUGCGUAGAUAUAAGGAAGAACACCAGUGGCGAAGGCGGAUGACUGGACGGCAACUGACGGUGAGGCGCGAAGGCGUGGGGAGCAAACAGGAUUAGAUACCCCAGUAGUC